UACGUAGGUGGCAAGCGUUGUCCGGAUUUAUUGGGUUUAAAGGGUGCGUAGGCGGCCUUAUAAGUCAGUGCUGAAAUAUCCCGGCUUAACCGGGAGGGUGGCAUUGAUACUGUAGGGCUUGAGUACAGAUAAGGUAGGCGGAAUUGACGGUGUAGCGGUGAAAUGCAUAGAUAUCGUCAAGAACACCGAUAGCGAAGGCAGCUUACUGGGCUGUAACUGACGCUGAUGCACGAAAGUGUGGGGAUCAAACAGG
This 253-nucleotide ribosomal RNA is filed under the name uncultured bacterium. Its description in RNAcentral is "partial 16S ribosomal RNA". It matches the Rfam family "Bacterial small subunit ribosomal RNA", at positions 524 to 776 of the family's 1533-position model. The record is from RNAcentral.